GUGACAUCGAGCUACAUUAGAAUCUGCCCAAUAUAACUGUCUGCAGAAGCCACUUUGCAGAUCUUCAGUGCAGACAUGUGCGCUUUGGCCCAACUUGAAUUGAUCUUGCAGAGCUGGUUACUGUAGCACUGGUUCUUUGGGAGUACAGUUGGAUGGCAGUUUCAUCCAAUAAAGGGUGAGAGAGAGAAACUAAAAGGGCAGUAAAAGAUGCAAAUAAGACAGUGCCAUAUAUAAAUAUUUUUUCUAAAAGACCAGACAGGGUGUUGAGGAAUUCCUACGUAAAUGUACUUGGUUGUCCUUUUGUUUGCCCACUUCUGAAAACUGUGCUUUUACUGAUACAAAUAAGUCUGUGUAAGGGACAGUUCAUGGUUCCAUGCCUUGAGCAAUAUCUCACAGAUGGCAUCUUAAGAGAAGGCAAUAGACCUUUGCUGAUACUGGCUGACCCUGCCAUACCAUGAAAAAGAGCAUGCAAAAAUUCUGCCUGCUCCACGCAUCUCCUCACCCUCUACAAGAAGAUAUGUGAGGAUGCCCCAAGGGGCCAAACCCUACAGUAAGAAAUAUGAGUUCCAAAGCCAGCACAGCUCUUAUUAUCUCUCUCACUUUUUCACUUGGUUCUUCUUCUUAUUUUUUUUAAUGCAGUUCUGUAGCUGCAAUCAGGCAGAGUCUUUCAGUUAAGAAAUAAAUUCACUCAGAUUUUUUUCUUUUUGUGCGUAGUGGGACAAACUUUCUCAAGAAGCAUUUUGAAUUGCCUUGUUGCCAUUCAUGAAUCUUCUGAAAUGUCUGCCGAAUGCCUGACACUGAAGUGAUAUAAGACCUGCAUUAGAAGAGCUUCAUCUGAGUGUAAUAUGCUGCCCUGGGAGGGUGAGUGCUCAAUGAGGAUUCUGAAGGAUUAAGGUCUUCAUGUGUGGUGCAAACAUUUGAAGCAAAUGCAACAGAAUUGCCCCGAGUCUGCUCAAGAGCCCAUCGCUGCUUCCUAUGUGGUCACACUACAAAGUCAAACUAAUAAUAAUGUAUGGUUGGUUACCCUUCUGAAAAUAACUGCAAGUAUUGAGUGCUGUCAUCAUGGAGAACCCAGACCUCCUGAAGUAAGAGGGAAAAUUGAAUUGACUCGCAGGAGGCCAGAAUGCCACCCACAGAGGUGCUUGAUUGCCAGAAAAUGCUGAGUUCCUGCUACCUGGAAUCAUUGGUGUCUGAUAUCCAGCAUCGUACUGAAAGGUAAGACAUGGAAAUCACCAGUGCAGACUGAAAAAGUCAGAUCCUCAGCUCAUGCAGAAUGAUGUCACUCUGAGAGCAAUUAUACAAUGGUGAUAUGUGCUAACAGAAGAACUAGAAACAUGUUUUUGCAUGUACAAUACACAUGUUGUUUUCAUCGCAGCUAGUGCUGUACCUCUGAGGAAACAC
RNAcentral lists this long non-coding RNA (1401 nucleotides) under Numida meleagris (helmeted guineafowl). RNAcentral's name for it is "lncRNA (ENSNMEG00000023182.1)". Lineage: Eukaryota; Metazoa; Chordata; Aves; Galliformes; Numididae. The record is from RNAcentral.